GUCCACGCCGUAAACUAUGGGUGCUAGCCGUCGGGAGCUUGCUCCUCGGUGGCGCAGCAAACGCAUUAAGCACCCCGCCUGGGGAGUACGGUCGCAAGAUUAAAACUCAAAGGAAUUGACGGGGCCCGCACAAGCGGUGGAGCAUGUGGUUUAAUCGAGGCAACGCGAAGAACCUUACCAGCCCUUGACUUCCCGAUCGGGGGACCAGAGAUGGACCUCUUCAAUUGGUCGGUGACAGGUGCUGCAUGGCUGUCGU
This 256-nucleotide ribosomal RNA is filed under the name uncultured bacterium. Its description in RNAcentral is "partial 16S ribosomal RNA". It matches the Rfam family "Bacterial small subunit ribosomal RNA", at positions 793 to 1055 of the family's 1533-position model. The record is from RNAcentral.